AAUACUACUGAUCUCUUUACAAUCUAUUGGCAUGUUUGUAACAUUAUAUAGAAUAUUAAUUAUUCUUCAUCAUUUAUUUUAAAUAUAGUAACAAUUUAAAAUGCAACAGAAAGUAAUUCAAAAUGUAUCUGAAAUCAAUUAAAUAUGUAACCCAAUGUAAUUAUCUUCACAGAUUGUUUUAAAGGACUCCUAUCCAUACUGUUGCAGCACUGUAGCAGAGCUGCACUAUUCAGAACUGAGAAUCAGUUCAGUUCCUCCUGUACAGAGCUGCACUGAAUGGAGCAGAGCCUGCACAAACCUAGAACAAUGAGAGUCGAACCAGGUCCUGUCAGUGGGAUGGUGGUCCUGUUUGCAAGAGAGGAAACUCGCUAAGUGGUUAAGGUAGGAGUAGAGUGUCUAAUAUUGUUACAUCAUCUUUUCAUAUCUUGCUUUAUUCAUAAUGUAUAACAUGCCUAUUUGAUUAGCCCUA
This is a long non-coding RNA of Cyprinus carpio (common carp), 469 nucleotides long. RefSeq lists it as uncharacterized. Lineage: Eukaryota; Metazoa; Chordata; Actinopteri; Cypriniformes; Cyprinidae. The record is from RefSeq and is a predicted model, not a curated record. The transcript has 2 exons.